Molecule: ribosomal RNA, 279 nt
Filed under: uncultured bacterium
Lineage: Bacteria
Description: partial 16S ribosomal RNA
Rfam family: Bacterial small subunit ribosomal RNA
Source: RNAcentral
UGCCAGCCUCCGCGGUAAUACUGAUGGGGUUAGCGUUGUUCGGAAUUACUGGGCGUAAAGCGCUCGUAGGUGGCUUUGUAAGUCAGAUGUGAAAGCCCACGGCUCAACCGUGGAAUUGCAUUUGAUACUGCAUCGCUAGAGUAUAGGAGAGGGAAGUGGAAUUUCUGGUGUAGGAGUGAAAUCCGUAGAGAUCAGAAGGAGCACCGGUGGCGAAGGCGACUUCCUGGACUAUUACUGACACUGAGGAGCGAAAGCGUGGGGAGCAAACAGGAUUAGAUA